AUGCCGGCAUGCGGGAGCGACGGGCAAGCGCAGCUGUAUCCAAUGGCCAAUGGUGGACAGGGUGCUGGGGGAGGGCGUCGCCAGCGGUCCCGCGUCACGGAGAUGCGGCACCGCUGCUCCAAGGGAUUGGGCCGGCCGGUGCCGCGCAACCGUCCAGCGGGACCGAGCCGGUGCCGCGCUUCGGCUCUGCGGAACCGAGCCGGUACCGCGUGGCCCUCUCCUGUUCCGCGGGAGCGCGCUGGUGCCGUUUGUCUAAGCCGCCGGACCGACGCUGUCUACCCCACCCUGCGCGACCGCUCGAGCCUCCGGUCCCGCACAUCCAACCUGCGCUUGCCCGUCGCUCCCGCAUCCCGGCGUCGCGUGUUAGUUAUAUUUUCGCAAAUUCACCACAUGCAUAUAUAUAAACGUAAAUUAUUAAUAAAAAACGGAUAUUUUCAAAUUUUUUUUCGAUACCUGACUGCCACCGAAUCAAUUAGUGAUUAACUAUCCUAAU
This 493-nucleotide long non-coding RNA is filed under the name Oryza sativa Indica Group (long-grained rice). RNAcentral describes it as "lncRNA OsZS97_05G028300". The record is from RNAcentral. Lineage: Eukaryota; Viridiplantae; Streptophyta; Magnoliopsida; Poales; Poaceae.